GCGGAUGGCCGGGUGACCGCGUGAGGUUUUGCCUUGCGAGGAAAGUCCGGACUUCAAGAAGCAACGGUGCCGGGUAACGCCCGGCCGGGGAAACCCGAGGGAAAGCGCCACAGAGAACAGACGGCCUUGCAUGCAGGGUCACGGUGAAACGGUGGGGUAAAAGCCCACCGCGGGACUGGCAACAGGACCGGCACGGCAAGCCCCACCGGAAGCAAUGCCAAAUAGGGGUCUCGCGCGGAGCGAUCCGCAGGGCAGCUUCAGUCCAGAGACCCGGGUUGGCAGCUUGAUCCCGCCGGCGACGGCGGGGCCAGAGGAAUGGUCAUCACCCCGUCGGGGGACAGAAUCCGGCUUACAGGCCAUCCGCGCGA
Molecule: RNase P RNA, 368 nt
Filed under: Paracoccaceae bacterium
Lineage: Bacteria; Pseudomonadati; Pseudomonadota; Alphaproteobacteria; Rhodobacterales; Paracoccaceae
Also listed under: 1 other name
Description: Rhodobacteraceae bacterium RNase P RNA component class A
Rfam family: Bacterial RNase P class A
About the family: Ribonuclease P (RNase P) is a ubiquitous endoribonuclease, found in archaea, bacteria and eukarya as well as chloroplasts and mitochondria. Its best characterised activity is the generation of mature 5'-ends of tRNAs by cleaving the 5'-leader elements of precursor-tRNAs. Cellular RNase Ps are ribonucleoproteins.
Source: RNAcentral